AUUGAACGCUGGCGGCAUGCCUAAUACAUGCAAGUCGAACGAGUCGCGGACGGGUGAGUAAUGUCUGGGCCACUGCACGUUGGAGGGGCAUAACUACUGGAAAAAGGAGCUAUUCCCGCAUACCAUCGUCUGUGCCCAGACUGGAUUAGCUAUUAGGUGGGGGAAUGGCUCACAUAGGCCACGAUCCCUAGCUGGUCUGAUCGGAUGAUCAGCCACACUGGAACGGAGACACGGUCCAGAAUACUAGGGAAGGCAGCAGAGGGGAAUAUUGCAAAAUGGGCGCAAGCCUGAUGCAGACAUGCGGCGUGUAUGAAGAAGGCCUUCGGGUUGUAAAGUACUUUCAGCGAGGAGGCGUUACUCGCAGAAGAAGCACCGGCUAACUCCGUGCCAGCAGCCGCGGUAAUAC
This 406-nucleotide ribosomal RNA is filed under the name uncultured bacterium. RNAcentral describes it as "partial 16S ribosomal RNA". It matches the Rfam family "Bacterial small subunit ribosomal RNA", at positions 30 to 526 of the family's 1533-position model. The record is from RNAcentral.